UGGUCUGAACAGGUAAGUGACAUUUUAAAACGUCUCACUAUUGAGGGGUUAUGCAAAUAAAUCACUGCCAUAAUGAGGAUGAUUUUGUAAUCAAAUGUUUUUACAGUUGAGUGAGCAAAAUCUCACCUGAUAAUGAUAACCCAAUUCAAAUUUAUUUGCACUGUUCACACAUUUCAAGAUUACACCUGAGUUGUUUUUUUUUCCACACUUCAUCUCCCUUUGCUUUUUUCACUUUGUUGCAAGUAAGCACAUUGUUGCAGUCAGCUGAAUCAGGCAAAAUAGGAAGGAAGGAAAGUGGGGGGAGGAUGAAAAUGCGUAGAGAAUGACAGGAGAAGAAGAGGAACAAGGGGAAGAUGCAUUCUGAAUGAGGGAUGAGAAGAGGCUGAUGAAUAAUAGAGAAGAGUUGGGCGUGGGCUGCAGACAUGGGGGGAUGUAAUAUUCGUCAACGAUACUGUCCAGUGAAAAAGUAUUGGCCCCCUUUUGAUUUUUUUGCAUUCAUUUCCACCAUUUAAAUUUUCAAGAUUAUCAAAUAAAUCUAAAGAGACAA
Syngnathoides biaculeatus (alligator pipefish) is the source of this 547-nucleotide long non-coding RNA. RefSeq lists it as uncharacterized. The transcript has 3 exons. Lineage: Eukaryota; Metazoa; Chordata; Actinopteri; Syngnathiformes; Syngnathidae. The record is from RefSeq and is a predicted model, not a curated record.